CUAAUUCCAUUUCUUGUCGAAUUCCUAAUUUCAGCUGCAUAUUUUUCCCAUGGCCUUUUUCCAACACCUAUUUACUUGAAGGGUAUUUUUGGAAACUUAACUUCUAUUUCCUCAUUUGAUUGAACUAUAGACACCAUCAUGGGUUGUGGUGCAGUGGUGGGACCACGUCAUCCUUAAUCAGAGGUCUUGGGUUCGAACCCUGGAUAUGGAGAAAAAUUUGUUGGGAGCACUAUCCCCUUAAUGGGCCCUGCAAUGCUCGAUCCGAAUUAGUCGGACUCCAAUGUGGAUACUGAACACCUAGUGGAAACCAAAAAGAAACUAUAGAAACUUUUGAAGUUUUUUUCUCAUCUUGAAUCUUGAAAUCCAUUUGCA
RNAcentral lists this long non-coding RNA (372 nucleotides) under Capsicum annuum. RNAcentral describes it as "long non-coding RNA (CANN_LNC021877)". The record is from RNAcentral. Lineage: Eukaryota; Viridiplantae; Streptophyta; Magnoliopsida; Solanales; Solanaceae.